ACACGGAGAGUGCAAGCGUUGUUCGGAAUCACUGGGCUUAAAGAGCGUGUAGGCGGGAUGUCAGGUGUCGCGUGAAAGCCCCGGGCUCAACCUGGGAAUUGCAUUCGAUACUGCUUGACUAGAGUAUGGUAGAGGGAAGUGGAAUUUCCGGUGUAGCGGUGAAAUGCGUAGAUAUCGGAAGGAACACCAGUGGCGAAGGCGACUUCCUGGGCCAAUACUGACGCUGAGGUGCGAAAGCGUGGGGAGCAAACAGGAUUAGAAACCCCGGUAGUCC
RNAcentral lists this ribosomal RNA (274 nucleotides) under uncultured bacterium. RNAcentral's name for it is "partial 16S ribosomal RNA". It matches the Rfam family "Bacterial small subunit ribosomal RNA", at positions 523 to 796 of the family's 1533-position model. The record is from RNAcentral.